UACGGGGGGGGCAAGCGUUGUUCGGAAUUACUGGGCGUAAAGGGCUCGUAGGCGGCCAACUAAGUCCGACGUGAAAUCCCCAGGCUUAACCUGGGAACUGCGUCGGAUACUGGAUGGCUUGAAUCCGGGAGAGGGAUGCGGAAUUCCAGGUGUAGCGGUGAAAUGCGUAGAUAUCUGGAGGAACACCGGUGGUGAAGGCGGCAUCCUGGACCGGCAUUGACGCUGAGGAGCGAAAGCCAGGGGAGCAAACGGG
This 253-nucleotide ribosomal RNA is filed under the name uncultured bacterium. Its description in RNAcentral is "partial 16S ribosomal RNA". It matches the Rfam family "Bacterial small subunit ribosomal RNA", at positions 524 to 776 of the family's 1533-position model. The record is from RNAcentral.